Molecule: non-coding RNA, 833 nt
Organism: Musa acuminata subsp. malaccensis (wild Malaysian banana)
Lineage: Eukaryota; Viridiplantae; Streptophyta; Magnoliopsida; Zingiberales; Musaceae
Source: RefSeq, a predicted model, not a curated record
AAUAAAUAAAUAAAAUUUCACAUGAUAGAAAACAUAAAUCAUGUUGGCUACUCACUAAAUUAUUUUAGCAAUCUUAUAAUUUUAAAUAAAGUCAUAGGGUACUUUCGAAAUUAAAAAAUUAUAUUAGCAUCUCACAGAUGUUGAAAUGCUAAUGCUACCCUGAGGUAGCAUCAGUAUUUGAACAUUUCCAAUACAACCUCCAGGCUAAAUAAGAUUCGAAAAAAAUUUAUCGAAUAUCAAUUCAUAUCUUAAGAUGAGAGGAAAAAGACUCGGCCUGCCUAAGGAAUUAGAUGAGUGGAAUUGUUUCAUAUCUUAUUAACUUUCUAUCCAUCUUUAAAGAGAAAUGCAUUCUUGAUUGAUUAUCUAGAACUGACCAUGGUAAAUUGUUAACAAUGUUCCAUUACAGGUAGCUUUCGACAAAAUUGGUUCUAUGACUGCAAACACAAUCACAAAGGAAAGAAAGAAACAGGAACCAGCAGUGAUGGCUGAGCUUGACCAGAGACAGAGACGACUCAACACCCUGAACACAAACGGGUAAUAGUCUGGUCGAUGCUACGAGGGAGAUGGAACAAGGUUUCAUCCCAAUGGGUGACGACCAGAAAACUAAACCUGCUAAGCGAAAUUGUCUUAGACAUUGUGAAUUGGCAUUUGGUUAAUCACCUGCCUGAUAUUCUUUUUCUUUUCUCUGUAUUCGUGUAAAAUAUUUGCUCUUUUGUGAAACAAAGAAAAUUCACAGGUCCGAUAUCUUGGAACUUAAAUCGAUGUUUUCUAUAAGGUUUCAUAGGGCUGGUAAUUCCCAGCAUCAAGCUGUUGAAAUUCCAACUUGUGAGCUA